AGGUGAUAUGAACCGUUAUAACCGGCGAUUUCCGAAUGGGGAAACCCAGUGUGAUUCGUCACACUAUCAUUAACUGAAUCCAUAGGUUAAUGAGGCGAACCGGGGGAACUGAAACAUCUAAGUACCCCGAGGAAAAGAAAUCAACCGAGAUUCCCCCAGUAGCGGCGAGCGAACGGGGAGSAGCCCAGAGCCUGAAUCAGUGUGUGUGUUAGUGGAAGCGUCUGGAAARGCGUGCGAUACAGGGUGACAGCCCCGUACACAAAAAUGCACAUACUGUGAGCUCGAUGAGUAGGGCGGGACACGUGGUAUCCUGUCUGAAUAUGGGGGGACCAUCCUCCAAGGCUAAAUACUCCUGACUGACCGAUAGUGAACCAGUACCGUGAGGGAAAGGCGAAAAGAACCCCGGCGAGGGGAGUGAAAAAGAACCUGAAACCGUGUACGUACAAGCAGUGGGAGCCUCUUAAUGGGGUGACUGCGUACCUUUUGUAUAAUGGGUCAGCGACUUAUAUUCUGUAGCAAGGUUAACCGAAUAGGGGAGCCGAAGGGAAACCGAGUCUUAACUGGGCGUUAAGUUGCAGGGUAUAGACCCGAAACCCGGUGAUCUAGCCAUGGGCAGGUUGAAGGUUGGGUAACACUAACUGGAGGACCGAACCGACUAAUGUUGAAAAAUUAGCGGAUGACUUGUGGCUGGGGGUGAAAGGCCAAUCAAACCGGGAGAUAGCUGGUUCUCCCCGAAAGCUAUUUAGGUAGCGCCUCGUGAAUUCAUCUCCGGGGGUAGAGCACUGUUUCGGCAAGGGGGUCAUCCCGACUUACCAACCCGAUGCAAACUGCGAAUACCGGAGAAUGUUAUCACGGGAGACACACGGCGGGUGCUAACGUCCGUCGUGAAGAGGGAAACAACCCAGACCGCCAGCUAAGGUCCCAAAGUCAUGGUUAAGUGGGAAACGAUGUGGGAAGGCCCAGACAGCCAGGAUGUUGGCUUAGAAGCAGCCAUCAUUUAAAGAAAGCGUAAUAGCUCACUGGUCGAGUCGGCCUGCGCGGAAGAUGUAACGGGGCUAAACCAUGCACCGAAGCUGCGGCAGCGACACUAUGUGUUGUUGGGUAGGGGAGCGUUCUGUAAGCCUGUGAAGGUGUACUGUGAGGUAUGCUGGAGGUAUCAGAAGUGCGAAUGCUGACAUAAGUAACGAUAAAGCGGGUGAAAAGCCCGCUCGCCGGAAGACCAAGGGUUCCUGUCCAACGUUAAUCGGGGCAGGGUGAGUCGACCCCUAAGGCGAGGCCGAAAGGCGUAGUCGAUGGGAAACAGGUUAAUAUUCCUGUACUUGGUGUUACUGCGAAGGGGGGACGGAGAAGGCUAUGUUGGCCGGGCGACGGUUGUCCCGGUUUAAGCGUGUAGGCUGGUUUUCCAGGCAAAUCCGGAAAAUCAAGGCUGAGGCGUGAUGACGAGGCACUACGGUGCUGAAGCAACAAAUGCCCUGCUUCCAGGAAAAGCCUCUAAGCAUCAGGUAACAUCAAAUCGUACCCCAAACCGACACAGGUGGUCAGGUAGAGAAUACCAAGGCGCUUGAGAGAACUCGGGUGAAGGAACUAGGCAAAAUGGUGCCGUAACUUCGGGAGAAGGCACGCUGAUAUGUAGGUGAAGUCCCUCGCGGAUGGAGCUGAAAUCAGUCGAAGAUACCAGCUGGCUGCAACUGUUUAUUAAAAACACAGCACUGUGCAAACACGAAAGUGGACGUAUACGGUGUGACGCCUGCCCGGUGCCGGAAGGUUAAUUGAUGGGGUUAGCGGUAACGCGAAGCUCUUGAUCGAAGCCCCGGUAAACGGCGGCCGUAACUAUAACGGUCCUAAGGUAGCGAAAUUCCUUGUCGGGUAAGUUCCGACCUGCACGAAUGGCGUAAUGAUGGCCAGGCUGUCUCCACCCGAGACUCAGUGAAAUUGAACUCGCUGUGAAGAUGCAGUGUACCCGCGGCAAGACGGAAAGACCCCGUGAACCUUUACUAUAGCUUGACACUGAACAUUGAGCCUUGAUGUGUAGGAUAGGUGGGAGGCUUUGAAGUGUGGACGCCAGUCUGCAUGGAGCCGGCCUUGAAAUACCACCCUUUAAUGUUUGAUGUUCUAACGUUGGCCCCUGACCGGGGUUGCGGACAGUGUCUGGUGGGUAGUUUGACUGGGGCGGUCUCCUCCUAAAGAGUAACGGAGGAGCACGAAGGUUGGCUAAUCCUGGUCGGACAUCAGGAGGUUAGUGCAAUGGCAUAAGCCAGCUUGACUGCGAGCGUGACGGCGCGAGCAGGUGCGAAAGCAGGUCAUAGUGAUCCGGUGGUUCUGAAUGGAAGGGCCAUCGCUCAACGGAUAAAAGGUACUCCGGGGAUAACAGGCUGAUACCGCCCAAGAGUUCAUAUCGACGGCGGUGUUUGGCACCUCGAUGUCGGCUCAUCACAUCCUGGGGCUGAAGUAGGUCCCAAGGGUAUGGCUGUUCGCCAUUUAAAGUGGUACGCGAGCUGGGUUUAGAACGUCGUGAGACAGUUCGGUCCCUAUCUGCCGUGGGCGCUGGAGAACUGAGGGGGGCUGCUCCUAGUACGAGAGGACCGGAGUGGACGCAUCACUGGUGUUCGGGUUGUCAUGCCAAUGGCACUGCCCGGUAGCUAAAUGCGGAAGAGAUAAGUGCUGAAAGCAUCUAAGCACGAAACUUGCCCCGAGAUGAGUUCUCCCUGACUCCUUGAGAGUCCUGAAGGAACGUUGAAGACGACGACGUUGAUAGGCCGGGUGUGUAAGCGCAGCGAUGCGUUGAGCUAACCGGUACUAAUGAACCGUGAGGCUUAACCUUACAACGCCGAAGRUGUU
Molecule: ribosomal RNA, 2838 nt
Filed under: Escherichia coli
Lineage: Bacteria; Pseudomonadati; Pseudomonadota; Gammaproteobacteria; Enterobacterales; Enterobacteriaceae
Description: 23S ribosomal RNA
Rfam family: Bacterial large subunit ribosomal RNA
Source: RNAcentral